RNAcentral lists this ribosomal RNA (216 nucleotides) under uncultured bacterium. Its description in RNAcentral is "partial 16S ribosomal RNA". It matches the Rfam family "Bacterial small subunit ribosomal RNA", at positions 118 to 335 of the family's 1533-position model. The record is from RNAcentral.
UGAGCAAUCUGCCCUUCUCAUCGGAAUAACCAUUGGAAACGAUGGCUAAUGCCGAAUAUGACCUCGGAUCACAUGUUCUGAGGUGGAAAGCUCCGGCGGAGAAGGAUGAGCUCGCGGCCUAUCAGCUUGUUGGUGAGGUAAUGGCUCACCAAGGCAUUGACGGGUAGCCGGCCUGAGAGGGUGACCGGCCACACUGGGACUGAGACACCGGCACGA